RNAcentral lists this unclassified non-coding RNA (308 nucleotides) under uncultured fungus. RNAcentral's name for it is "partial contains 5.8S ribosomal RNA and internal transcribed spacer 2". The stretch from base 1 to 133 matches the Rfam family "5.8S ribosomal RNA", at positions 22 to 154 of the family's 154-position model. The record is from RNAcentral. Lineage: Eukaryota; Fungi.
UGGUUCUGGCAUCGAUGAAGAACGCAGCGAAAUGCGAUAAGUAAUGUGAAUUGCAGAAUUCAGUGAAUCAUCGAAUCUUUGAACGCACAUUGCGCCCUCUGGUAUUCCGGGGGGCAUACCUGUCCGAGCGUCAUUGCAAACUCUCAAGCGUAGCUUGGUUAUGGGUUUCACCGUAACUGGUGGGCCUGAAAAGCAGUGGAUGUCUGGUGUGACUUUGAGUGUAGUAAAUUUUCCCGCUCUAAAGAAUCAUCGCAUCUCCAUAAAUCUUCCUCAAGAUUGACCUCGGAUCAGGUAGGGAUACCCGCUGA